This 460-nucleotide ribosomal RNA is filed under the name uncultured bacterium. RNAcentral describes it as "partial 16S ribosomal RNA". It matches the Rfam family "Bacterial small subunit ribosomal RNA", at positions 338 to 795 of the family's 1533-position model. The record is from RNAcentral.
CCUACGGGAGGCAGCAGUGAGGAAUAUUGGUCAAUGGGCGCGAGCCUGAACCAGCCAAGCCGCGUGAAGGAUGAAUGCCCUCCGGGUUGUAAACUUCUUUUAUAAAGGAAUAAAGUGAGGCACGUGUGCCUUUUUGUAUGUACUUUAUGAUUCAGGAUCGGCUAACUCCGUGCCAGCAGCCGGGGUAAUACGGAGGUUCCGAGCGUUAUCCGGAUUUAUUGGGUUUAAAGGGAGCGUAGAUGGGUUGUUAAGUCAGUUGUGAAAGAUUGCGGCUCAACCGUAAAAUUGCAAUUGAUACUGGCAGCCUUGAGUACAGUUGAGGUAGGCGGAAUUCGUGGUGUAGCGGUGAAAUGCUUAGAUAUCACGAAGAACUCCGAUUGCGAAGGCAGCCUACUAAACUGCCACUGACAUUGAUGCUCGAAAGUGUGGGUAUCAAACAGGAUUAGAUACCCGGGUAGUC